AUGAUGAUAGUUGAUGCCAUCAUAGAUACUACACCAUACGGAUUCACCACUGUCUUAGCUAUGCUAUGCUCUACAGAUAAUGAGCAAAGUAGUUGCCUUAGUAUACAUCAUUUUUUGUUGGCUCAUGUCAUUAUCAGUUGCAUGUUCUCAGUUUACAAUUCCUUUUUCAGUUUAUAUAUGUAUGCAUACACCCAGUUUGCACAUUCCACUAUCCAAAUUUUCUUAAGUACUUGUACCCUACAGAUCUUAACAAAUAUUUGUAUCGCUGUUUUGUCAUGGUUGAGCAUGGAAACAUGUGACUUUGAUGAUCUUACAACACCAGAUUUACGUUUCAUGGUAUUAUCCUAUGGAAAACAAUUGUUGCUUUGUGUUUAUUCAGAAAGUUAA
This 387-nucleotide ribosomal RNA is filed under the name Triticum aestivum (bread wheat). RNAcentral describes it as "partial small subunit ribosomal RNA". The record is from RNAcentral. Lineage: Eukaryota; Viridiplantae; Streptophyta; Magnoliopsida; Poales; Poaceae.